This 440-nucleotide ribosomal RNA is filed under the name uncultured bacterium. Its description in RNAcentral is "partial 16S ribosomal RNA". It matches the Rfam family "Bacterial small subunit ribosomal RNA", at positions 338 to 795 of the family's 1533-position model. The record is from RNAcentral.
CCUACGGGAGGCAGCAGUAGGGAAUAUUGUUCAAUGGGGGAAACCCUGAAGCAGCAACGCCGCGUGGAGGAUGAAGGUUUUCGGAUUGUAAACUCCUUUUGUUAGAGAAGAUAAUGACGGUAUCUAACGAAUAAGCACCGGCUAACUCCGUGCCAGCAGCCGCGGUAAUACGGAGGGUGCAAGCGUUACUCGGAAUCACUGGGCGUAAAGAGCGCGUAGGCGGGAUAGCAAGUCAGAUGUGAAAUCCUAGGGCUUAACCAUAGAACUGCAUUUGAAACUGUUAUUCUAGAGUAUGGGAGAGGUAGGUGGAAUUCUUGGUGUAGGGGUAAAAUCCGUAGAGAUCAAGAGGAAUACUCAUUGCGAAGGCGACCUGCUAGAACAUAACUGACGCUGAUGCGCGAAAGCGUGGGGAGCAAACAGGAUUAGAUACCCCAGUAGUC